CCACCCGUUCCCAUUCCGAACACGGCAGUUAAGCUCUUUCACGUCGAAAAUACUUGGUUGGCGACGACCUGGAAAUUUAGAUAAGUGCCGGCA
Molecule: ribosomal RNA, 93 nt
Filed under: Oscillospiraceae bacterium
Lineage: Bacteria; Bacillati; Bacillota; Clostridia; Eubacteriales; Oscillospiraceae
Source: RNAcentral